CGGCUUUGUUCCUCUUGGAGGAUUAAUAGGGAAUCAGGUGAAAAUCCUGAACAGACCCGCUGCUGUAAAUUCCGCAAAGUACCGUACAACUCAUAGCCACUGUAAGAAAAUGGGAAGGCUGUAUGGUAUGGAAUAAGUCAGAAGACCUGCAAAGUGAU
RNAcentral lists this non-coding RNA (158 nucleotides) under uncultured Dysgonomonas sp. Lineage: Bacteria; Pseudomonadati; Bacteroidota; Bacteroidia; Bacteroidales; Dysgonomonadaceae. The record is from RNAcentral.